Molecule: ribosomal RNA, 895 nt
Filed under: Coniochaeta velutina
Lineage: Eukaryota; Fungi; Ascomycota; Sordariomycetes; Coniochaetales; Coniochaetaceae
Description: LSU rRNA
Rfam family: Eukaryotic large subunit ribosomal RNA
Source: RNAcentral
GCAUAUCAAUAAGCGGAGGAAAAGAAACCAACAGGGAUUGCCCCCAGUAACGGCGAGUGAAGCGGCAACAGCUCAAAUUUGAAAUCUGGCUUCGGCCCGAGUUUGUAAUUUGUAGAGGAUGCUUUUGGUGAGGUGCCUUCUGAGUUCCCUGGAACGGGACGCCAGAGAGGGUGAGAGCCCCGUAUAGUCGGCCACCGAUCCUCUGUAAAGCUCCUUCGACGAGUCGAGUAGUUUGGGAAUGCUGCUCAAAAUGGGAGGUAUAUCUCUUCUAAAGCUAAAUAUUGGCCAGAGACCGAUAGCGCACAAGUAGAGUGAUCGAAAGAUGAAAAGCACUUUGAAAAGAGGGUUAAAUAGCACGUGAAAUUGUUGAAAGGGAAGCGCUUGUGACCAGACUUGUGCCGGGCUGAUCAUCCAGUGUUCUCACUGGUGCACUCGACCCGGCUCAGGCCAGCGUCGGUUCUCGCGGGGGGAUAAAAGCUUCGGGAACGUGGCACCUCCGGGUGUGUUAUAGCCCGCUGCUUAAUACCUUCGCGGGGACCGAGGUUCGCGCUCUGCAAGGACGCUGGCAUAAUGGUCAUCAGCGACCCGUCUUGAAACACGGACCAAGGAGUCGAGGUUUUGCGCGAGUGUUUGGGUGUAAAACCCGCACGCGUAAUGAAAGUGAACGUAGGUGAGAGCUUCGGCGCAUCAUCGACCGAUCCUGAUGUAUUCGGAUGGAUUUGAGUAAGAGCGUAUAGCCUCGGACCCGAAAGAUGGUGAACUAUGCCUGAAUAGGGUGAAGCCAGAGGAAACUCUGGUGGAGGCUCGCAGCGGUUCUGACGUGCAAAUCGAUCGUCAAAUUUGGGCAUGGGGGCGAAAGACUAAUCGAACCAUCUAGUAGCUGGUUACCGCCGAG